This 1065-nucleotide unclassified non-coding RNA is filed under the name Drosophila erecta. RNAcentral describes it as "GG24160". Lineage: Eukaryota; Metazoa; Arthropoda; Insecta; Diptera; Drosophilidae. The record is from RNAcentral.
CUCUAAUGCCCACGUGCGUUUUGUUUGGCCUCAGCCGGCGCUAAAUUCAACCGAAAUCACCUGCAAUUUCAAGGAUUCCACGGUAAAAAAGAGAUCAAAGAGCGCCACACCAUGGUCUUCUUCACGUGCAACAUCUGCGGCGAGUCGGUAAAGAAACCGGCGGUGGAGAAGCACUACCAGAUGCGCUGUCGCGGCAACGACAAGAACGUGUCCUGCAUGGACUGCCUGAAGGACUUUUACGGCGAGGAGUACGUGGCACACACCAAGUGCAUCUCCGAGGCCCAGAAGUACGCCAGCCAAAGUCAGGGCUUUGCCGCCAAGGAGCCGCGCAACAAGAAUGCUCAGAAGCAGGAGAGUUGGAUGGACAUUAUCCGAACGAUCCUCGACAGCAGCGAGUACAAACUAACUCCGCCCGUUCGAUCCGCCUUCCAGAAGCUCCAGAGCGUCGACAAUGUGCCCCGCAAGAAGGCCAAGUUCGAGAACUUCGUGGGUAACUGCAUGCGCAUGCCUCGCAAUCAGGCCACCCAGGUGUGGGAUAUUCUCGAGAAGGAGCUGAACAAGAUGAAGGAGGCAAAGCAAACGGAGCUGGCCAGAGCCAAGGCGGAGAAGGUGGCGGAAAUACAGCGGCAGCAGAAGGCAGACGCCGAGGAGGAGGAGGCGCCACCCAAGAAGAAGGCCAAAGUGGAAGCCACAGAAGAUGCUGCUGUCGAAGAGACCUCCAAUGGCAUUGCGAGCGACUUUGAUUGGGCCGCCCAACUAACUAAAAUCGUUACCAAGCAAUCAGAAGGCAUCUUUCUGGAAAAACUUCGUAAGAAGCUGCUGAAGAAGUAUGCUAAGCAUCUGUCCGUCGAGGAGUUGACCGAAAAACAGGACAAGAAGUUUCAGAAACGGUUUAUUAAGCAACUCAAGCUCGCCGAUUCUUUGCAAGUAGACGGCGAUUUGGUCAAGAUUGCUAGCUAGCCGAAUAUCCCACCUUUAGUCAUAGUUAAAUUAUAACAAAGGACAAUAAACGUAUACUGCAUACACUGCUUCAAAUGAGUGCGGGUCUCUUCGCACUGGGCUGUU